Orcinus orca (killer whale) is the source of this 317-nucleotide long non-coding RNA. RefSeq lists it as uncharacterized. The record is from RefSeq and is a predicted model, not a curated record. NCBI's taxonomy places the organism in Eukaryota, Metazoa, Chordata, Mammalia, Artiodactyla, Delphinidae. The transcript is spliced from 2 exons.
CUGGUGCCCACAGGCUGUUGGGUGGGACCUCGGCUUUCCACUAAUGAGCCAGGAUGGCAGCUGCCAGAUGCAGUGUUCACACGGUAGAAUGUUCCCAAAUAUGGCUGACACCAGUAUCUAUGUUCCUAGGGUGAGCUGCAGCUGCCCCCUGCCUCUCCAGGAGACUCUCCAAGACCAGCAGGUGUGGAUACAAGGGGAAGACAACUAAUUGUCUGCAACCAGGAAGAGGGCCCUCGCCGAGACACUGGAUCUGCCAGCACCUUGAUCUUGGACUUUCCAGCUUCUAGAACUGUGAGAAAUAAAUGUUUAUUGUUCAA